This 465-nucleotide ribosomal RNA is filed under the name uncultured Klebsiella sp. RNAcentral's name for it is "bacterial SSU rRNA". It matches the Rfam family "Bacterial small subunit ribosomal RNA", at positions 338 to 795 of the family's 1533-position model. The record is from RNAcentral. Lineage: Bacteria; Pseudomonadati; Pseudomonadota; Gammaproteobacteria; Enterobacterales; Enterobacteriaceae.
CCUACGGGAGGCAGCAGUGGGGAAUAUUGCACAAUGGGCGCAAGCCUGAUGCAGCCAUGCCGCGUGUGUGAAGAAGGCCUUCGGGUUGUAAAGCACUUUCAGCGGGGAGGAAGGCGGUGAGGUUAAUAACCUCAUCGAUUGACGCUACCCGCAGAAGAAGCACCGGCUAACUCCGUGCCAGCAGCCGCGGUAAUACGGAGGGUGCAAGCGUUAAUCGGAAUUACUGGGCGUAAAGCGCACGCAGGCGGUCUGUCAAGUCGGAUGUGAAAUCCCCGGGCUCAACCUGGGAACUGCAUUCGAAACUGGCAGGCUAGAGUCUUGUAGAGGGGGGUAGAAUUCCAGGUGUAGCGGUGAAAUGCGUAGAGAUCUGGAGGAAUACCGGUGGCGAAGGCGGCCCCCUGGACAAAGACUGACGCUCAGGUGCGAAAGCGUGGGGAGCAAACAGGAUUAGAUACCCCUGUAGUC